RNAcentral lists this ribosomal RNA (799 nucleotides) under uncultured Glomus. RNAcentral describes it as "SSU rRNA". It matches the Rfam family "Eukaryotic small subunit ribosomal RNA", at positions 314 to 1114 of the family's 1831-position model. The record is from RNAcentral. Lineage: Eukaryota; Fungi; Glomeromycota; Glomeromycetes; Glomerales; Glomeraceae.
AUCAACUUUCGAUGGUAGGAUAGAGGCCUACCAUGGUGGUAACGGGUAACGGGGAAUUAGGGUUCGAUUCCGGAGAGGGAGCCUGAGAAACGGCUACCACAUCCAAGGAAGGCAGCAGGCGCGCAAAUUACCCAAUCCCGACACGGGGAGGUAGUGACAAUAAAUAACAAUACGGGGCUCUUUCGGGUCUCGUAAUUGGAAUGAGUACAAUUUAAAUCCCUUAACGAGGAACAAUUGGAGGGCAAGUCUGGUGCCAGCAGCCGCGGUAAUUCCAGCUCCAAUAGCGUAUACUAAAGUUGUUGCAGUUAAAAAGCUCGUAGUUGAAUUUCGGGGUUAGUAGGUUGGUCAUGCCUCUGGUAUGUACUGGUCUCACUGAUUCCUCCUUCCUGAUGAACCGUAAUGCCAUUAAUUUGGUGUUGCGGGGAAUUUGGACUGUUACUCUGAAAAAAUUAGAGUGUUUAAAGCAAGCUAACGCUUGAAUACAUUAGCAUGGAAUAAUGAAAUAGGACGUUCGAUCCUAUUUUGUUGGUUUCUAGGAUUGACGUAAUGAUUAAUAGGGAUAGUUGGGGGCAUUAGUAUUCAAUUGUCAGAGGUGAAAUUCUUGGAUUUAUUGAAGACUAACUACUGCGAAAGCAUUUGCCAAGGAUGUUUUCAUUAAUCAAGAACGAAAGUUAGGGGAUCGAAGACGAUCAGAUACCGUCGUAGUCUUAACCAUAAACUAUGCCGACUAGGGAUCGGACGAAGUUAAUUUUAUAAUGACNCGUUCGGCACCUUACGGGAAACCAAAGUGUUUGGGUUC